CCGUGCGCGGCCCAAGGGCAGCGGGGACGGGCAGGGGGAGCGCCGGCCGCGGCCCGGAGCCCGCCCGGCCCGCUGCCCGCCCCCCGAGCCCCAAACUUCGCUCUUUCUUCUUUCUUCCCCGACCCUUUGUUAUGUCACAGCGGGCGGGCAGGGCCCCUCUGCCCGGCAAAACUUUUUUUGGGGUGGCUCCGUUGGCUGCGGGGAGCAGAAGGGGCUCGGCGCGGGGAUGGAGGCGCGUCCCCCCAGGGAUGCCCUGCCAGGGCGGCGAAGGUGCGGCGCUCCCUGCACAAUGGGAUGCCGCUCGCUUGGCGGAUAGCAGAGGCACGGGCAGCGCUCGGGGCUGCUAACAAAGCCCGGGGCUGCCGGCCCGGCUCCCUCCGCUACCGGGGCUGCCCGGAGAGAGCCCGGCCCGCGGGGCUCCCGGGAUGAGCGGGGAAGGUUUCCGCGGGGCUCCCGGGAAGGUUUCCGUGGGGCUCCCGGGAAGGUUUCCGCGGGGCUCCCGGGAUGAGCGGGGAAGGUUUCCGUGGGGCUCCCGGGAAGGUUUCCGCGGAUGUGCAUCCGAGCAGCCCCGGGAGGCUUCGCGCUGCUGCUGGGCUCUGUGCGGUUUAUUGGAGAAGCCACGUGAAAAGGCACCUUUCUCUCUCCUCUCUGCUCUUGACGUGGCUGGGAAAUGGCGAUAAUCCUGGGGGCCCGUCUCGCCUUGCCCGUGCACAGGAGAGGGGGAAGGCUGCAACCGAGCUGAGGAAAACCGAGCGGGUCCCUGCGCUGGGCAGGAAUUUUUAAUCGCUCUCCUUUAAAAGCGUCUGCAGUGGAGACUUGCAUCCCCUCAAAAAUUUCUCACAUGUUUGGGUAAAAUACAGGCAAUUGGAAGACAGGCAGAUUUCCCUCCCUUUCCCGGAGGGAAGCUGUUUUUUUUUUUGUCCCUGUCCUCCAAGUAGCAAAUUAAAGAUCAGAGUGAGUGGUAAUCAGAAUGCCUCCAGAAAUACCCUCUUUAGAAAAAUUAAUCAGAUCCAAAAUUCAAGGGACUUAUUUUCCUUUCUAAAAAUAUUUUUUUUGUUUUUAAGUGGCGUACAGUUUUAUUUUAAGUUCUUCAGUAUCUUCUGAAUGUAUUUGCCUUUGUCAUGAACUGGAGCUGAUGUUAAUAUCAAGGUUCAUAUCUUGUCUGCUGGGAUAACAGAAUCCUUACAGUUCUUGAAACGCACAUUUGUUGGUUAGCCCCCAAGCCUGGAGGAAAUCUGAGCAGUGAUGGGUGAUGAGCAGGAAUGUGCUGAUACUAUCUCAUUAGGCAGGCUUGGAAGAAGUCCUCCCUUUAAUACAGACCUAGCAGUAAGCUCCAGAUGCAGGAUCCCUCUCCCAAAGCACUUAACUAGUGCUAGAAGCUACAUUGAUCUUCUUGACUAUUAGUUAAUCUUGAUCCUGUGCACCAAAUUCCCCCAUUUUUGGAGGUGGAUGAAUCUAGCUUCUUAAAAAAUUGCCCCAUAGGUUAUGUUAGGAAAGAGUUUGGUGUAUUAGUUGUCAUGUUAGUAAACCAAAUGUUUGAAGAAUGGCAGUGCUGCUGCAGUUUUGGUUUACAAAACAGUUCUAGUCCAUUUCCACCACAUGGUUUAGUAACAAACUCUGUGUGGCUUAUCAGCUAUUCCACUUGCCCAUAUGUUUUUCUACUCUCUAAGCAUAGUGGUUAUCUCAGAGAUGCUAUUGAAGAGAGUCUCAUGCAAUAAAAGGAGCUGUUGUUUCUUGUCUGAGCCUCUUGAUGAGUUGGUGCAGCACUAAAUACAAUGAACUUUAAAUCCAUCUGCUUUAAAAGUAGUUUUUAAGAGAUAUUGUAUGCUGGAGAUAUGUAGUGAGUAUAGUAAACUCUACUAUUCCAACACUUGUGAAGUAGAACUCUAUUUUUGCUGCUUUAAUUUGCUUCUCUUCAUGUCAGAAGAUUUUGAAGUUGAAGCCCAUGUCAAGCAAGCUGCUGUAUAUCUGAGGUUAACAGAAACUGUUUGCUCUGGUCCUGCUGUCCCUAAGCAAGCCUGUUGUAAAAACUCCAAAUUUAACUUUGUGCUGGAAAAUUCCAGAGAAUGUCAGUCUCUGUUGGAAUGGGAAAGGAGGGAUAGAGCUUCACAGAAAACCUGCACGUGAACUUUCAAGCAAUAUGGCUUUCCAUAAUAGUCUAAUAUUACAUGUGCUUUAAUUUAUUAUUAAUAAAAUAUUAUUUAAGAACAGUGUUAAUUGCUGUUCUCCCUAGCCCUCCUGCCACAUUCUGGUUUACAGACAAUUUUGGUUUCACUGAGUUUGAAGCAUAAGUUGGAAUUAAUCUGGGCUAAAAAUCCAGCACUGCUUUGUGUAAUGGAGCGGCAUGUUUGGUAUUCUGGUAUAGCCAGGCUCUUGCUACACAGAGCAAACAUCUGCCAGGUUUGGAACUUUCUCCUCCCAUAAACUCACUGGACUCCUGCUGCUGAAGUGGAUGUUGGGUAAUUCAUUUGAUGAAAUCAUAUUUUUCAAGCCUCAGAAAGACUAUUCCCCCUUUGCCUUCUGUACCAAGGACAACUUUAGUGAGUGACUUCGCAAGUUCAGCAAAACCAUCGGGGUAAUUUGGGGUAGUUUGGGUUGAACCCUGGCUACCAAGUGCUGGUGGCCCCUCAAUCUCCACUGCUGCCUCCUUCUCCUCUCUGUACAGCCAGAAACCUUACAGAAAGAUCUGACCCCUUAUGCAAGAACCCUGACUGGCCUGGUUCUCAUUGAAUGAUUCACUGGGGGUUUUGUGUUUGAAUGAAUUUCCUGAACUGCUUUUCAAAUAUAAAUACCUGCAUAAUUAGCCAUGGAUGCCUUUAAAUUUCAAGCCACUAGAGGUUGAGGGUAGUCAUACAGUGAAAACAUCUCUUGUCUGACAAAUGCUGAAUAUUCUGUCAGUCAGAUGGUAAAACUGCUCAAUUUUGAGCUGCAAAGUGGUCAAAAUAGGAGUAAGAUCAUCAUUAGAGCCACUAAUAGAUAAUGUGUCUAAUCUGCCUACAAUAUAAUGGCUUGUCAUCCUCUGAGGUGGUUAAUGUUAUUGAGCCCUCAUUGUUUUAACAGACUGCUUAGGGUUUUUUAGGGCCUAGUGCUGCUGAGAUUAUUUAGGCAAAAACAUUUUUACUUGUCUGUUAUUUGCUGAAGUAAAUUGCAUACAGUAUUACCUUUAGGAUGAUUUUAUUGAAAAUACUGCAACUCAUUAAAGGCAGAACUGGAUCUUUUUGUCUGCCUUACAAGCUCCGUGCAGCCACAAAUCCCAAGCACUGUGUGUUUAUGUGACACUUCUUUCAUUUGUUUGUGGGGGUGGAGCUCCUCUGGGAGUGGCUGUGCUGUGGGGGCAGUGGGUUUUGGGCUGCCAGCCGUCCCGCUGCAGGGGCUGGAUGAUGGUCACUGCCUUAGAGGCUCUUCAGGAAGGGAUGGGACAGUCCCUGCCAGACACCAGAAAGGCUUCUCUGGGAUUCAGCUGUGUUCUUGCUUCUGCUGCUUCAGUUUUGUGUGAUGCUGAAAGGUCACCAGGGAUUAUUCUGGGGGUGACUUGAUUAAACCGGUGGCAGCUGUCCCGUGUGAACUCGCUGCUCAUGACCUGACUCCAGCCCAGAGCAUCUGCUGCAGCUUGUCUUUGCUGCCCAGUGAUGUCCCCUCUGAUGCUGCCAAACUGGCUGUGCUCACCUUGGCUGAGGUGAGCCUCUCCUUCCCACCAGCUUUGUCCAUUUUCCACGGGCAGAGCAGAGAGGCUGCUGCCCUGGAACCACCCAGCAGGGUCAGUGGCUGGGCUGGACACAAUUCCCAGGCUCUGCUGCUGGCAGUGGGGAUGUGCACAGGCUGUGCAGCCUCUCCUGCUGCUGCUGCUGCUGCCGUUGUUUGCCCUGCAGAAGCCCUGCUCUGCUCCCGGGUGCCAGGGGGGCUUUCCCCGCUGGAACUCCCCUCUCAGCUGCUCUCUCACAGGAGGAGCAGCCCCUGUGCACACCACUGCUCGUCCUGGAUUGCAUGAGCACAGGGCUGCACUUCCAGGUCACUUCCCCAGCUGGGUAUGGCAGAUGCUGUUGCCGAGUCAGCAAGGUUUUCCUUAGCUCAGAUGGCUUUUUUUCCUUCUUUUUUUAUGGCAGCACUGCAAAUUACGUGAGUCUUGGGAUUCUCACUGGGCUAUUUCAAGGCAAAUCUGAGAUUAAACUUUGUAUUGCUAAGGUUGACUUUAGAUAAGAGUUCGGCCCUUCUUAAACAGCUUCAUCAGAUAAUGAAUUAUCCCUGCUUUCCCUAGAUGCAUAUGAAGGGCAGAGCUAGGAAUAGACCUGGGAGAUGCUGGAUUAGGUUAGUUCUGCCUCUAUGCCCUGAGAAGCCCUGCCCUGAAACUAAUGGAUAUGCCCACGUGUUGAGCCAAAUCCAGUUCAUUUUUCUGUCCUUAGUAAGUGUUGCUACUGCCUGGCUGUGUUUUCAUCAACAUUUUACUUGAUUUUGUUGUUGCUGCUGUUGUAUUUGCUUCAUUGGUGAUAAAUGGAGUAUUUGCAAUUUGUGGUUUCCAGCUGAGAUGAGAAGUUGUUUUGGUGAAGAGGUACAGUUUUGAGGAGCAGGUUAAAGGUGAAAGGAAAGAAAUGUUCUUAUUGCAUGUUAUUAUUUGGGGGCUGUGAUGAGGAAAGCAAGCUGUAGAGAGGCUUGGCUCCCUGUCUUCAAGGUGGAUGCCUGAAUGAUAUGAAAACAAUAAGAAAUACUUAUCUGAGUUAGCUCACAGUGUCUUUGCAGAUGAGAGCUGUGCUGGCAAGAUAGGAAUUGAUUUAAAUUCCUGAGUUCCAGCUCCUGCUUUCCUCCUUCCUUGACCCUAAGUAGCAUUUUCUUACAGACUCUGAUUGGCAGUCCUGAUGAAACAGACUGCUGAGAUCCCUGGUGUCUUGCACCGUGUUGGAUUGCUGCUUUCCUUUGGAUUUGUAAAAACCCCAGUCUGCCAGUAGAUAUGGGGGGAUGUAGCCAGCUCUCUGAGGUCCUUUUCCUGUUAGCUGGGAGCAGCCAAAAGCCCACAGCCAGGCACUGGGAACCGGAGGAGCAGAGACUUUGCUGGAAUUCAGGUUACCCAGCUGGGGCCCUGAAAGUCUGGUGUGUGCACACCAGACAUUGGUGGAUGUAUGGAUUUUCCCAUUUGGAUUUUCCCUUUCUUUGCUGUGCAGUGGGCACUGAGUCAUCCAUACAAUGCAGCAAUGAGUGAUUUAUUCCUCUCAUUGUAAUUUUCAUCUUCAGAGCAGCCAAGAGUGUUGGUCCCAUUUGACAUGUGUUCAGUGGCAUAUAUGAAAAUUCCUAUUUUUGAGGCUAGUUGCUAGCAGGUAAAUGCAUGGAAAAUGAAUUGUCUUUCACCCUUUAGAAUUUGUCUUUCCCUGGUGUGGACAUACCUCACUGAAAUGAGGAAGCUGUUUGGACUGCAGUCUUCUGUUGUUCCAGUUUUCUGAGCACCAAAAAAUACUUAAAUUUUAAAUCCCUGGGUAUACUUUAAUCUUUUUCUGUAUGCUGCAUGGGGUUCUCAAAAUGCAAUGAAAUUGCUCCUGAUGCUAAAUCAUUUUAACACAGCUGCAUACAGUUAAAUUCAGACUGAAGCACAUUAAUCCAAGCUAAGUAGUGUUUGUAAACCUCAGUGUAGAUUCAGCUUUUGUCAUGUCACAAUUUUUACAUACAGAAGACCAGAGAUUCUUCUCCCAGGUCUUGGAAUUUAACCUGAUUAGAUAAACAGCAGAUGGGGUGGGACAAGGCACUGAUAAGUCCCUGGACCCUGGCAAAGCGUUUUUUUUCUGUGAAGUAUUUGCUACAGAAGCUCUGAGCUUCAUGAAGAAGCUGUGCCCAUUGCCUUGACCUUAGUGGUAUUUGAAAUUUUUAACAAGGUGAAUUUUAUUGUGGAGAACUAAAUCCCAGCUUUCAGCAGGAUUCUGGAGGUCACUUCUGCACUGCUCCGUUUGGGAUAAAGGUGAAAGUUAUGAAAUUAGAUUGUUAUACAAUAUUUUAUGGCUAGCAGAAUGGUGUGGGGGUUUUGUUGUUACUGCAUUACAUCAACAGACUUUUAUUUUGACUUUUGUUCUACUUGUGGGAAAAUGCCCUCCUUAAUUUCUUGGUUUAGAGAUGCUCUUUUCAAAUGGAGAUGUGGCUACAGUGAAGCUUUUAAAGCUGCUGGGAACAGCUGAAUAGAAAUGGUUAACAUUUUUAAUAUCUUUCAUGUUUGCUGAGAGCAUCCUGAACAUUUCCUGAACAACCACUGUGUUUAUAUUUUUCCUUCUUUUUUCCCCUCCACCUCUUUUCUUCAGUCCAUUCCCAUUCUUAAGCUUCUUGAGGCCCUCCUCAGCUUCAAGGGGAGCCCCAGACUGUUGGAGUGGCACCUUUUACAAUUAUCCAAUUGACAAUCACAGCAGUGAUACAGAGGACUCGUGUGAAAUUAUUUACUCCUCUAUCUCCUUCCCCAUCUGAACUAACAAUACCUUUCUCCAGAGUCUUGCAACUCCCACUGAUGAUCAGGGCAUCUGCUGGUUUGCAUCCUUGAUGUUCCAGCAGCUGGCCAUCAGGCUUUCCAGGUAAAUUGCAGACUUUGCCUUCAGUAUUAGCAAGAUAAAGGCUUUACUGAUCAGGUUGCCCCUGCUCUGAGGAAGCACCACCAGCUCUCAUUUAAUAGUUGCUAUAUAGAUCUCCCAUACUUUAAGGAAUGCUGGGAAAACAGAUCAUCAGCUACUUUCCUUGCUUUCUUGUGGGAAAAACUUGCUCUGCACAUUUCUGGAAUGCCAGGAGUGGCCAUUGCUGUAAUAGAGAAAUAACAGCUUUGUAUUUCCUGUCAGAGAUGGAGGACAAACAAACAAGACAUAUUUUUUUCCUCCAGUGAAAAGAUUUUAAUAUUUUCCUAUGUGGUCCAUCUUGGCCAAACGCCACUUCUGGGAAUUCUGUUCCAUCUGCCUCAGUGUUUGGAGGUUCCCUUGUUCUGCUGGUGCUGUUGGUCCUGCCCUGUGGUGGUGUCCCAGGGCAGGCUGAUGAGGGACCCUCUGCUGUGGGCAGAAGAGUCGAGGAAACCAGUCCAAAAGGCUGAAAAGUGCAGUGAGUGGUGAUGCUGAACCCAAAGCUCUCUGACUGAUGCCUGCCUUCCUCAGUGAGUCAGUCAGAUUUAGGCCUAAUGGCAAACGGGAUGAAGACUGCUGGGGUUACUCAUCUGGGCUCCAGUGCUCCUACUCUGAACUGCAGGGGACACUGGGCUUUGCUUCCCCAUGUGCUUCUGUACAGCAAAGGAAGCAGAGGUAUACAGGGAAUUAAGGAAACUCUGUACAUGGCAUGGUUAUCUCUUGUAACUGAACUUCAGGCCUAGGUCACCACUGGUGUUGGUUGGGAAUUCUGUGAAUAAUUAUCAUUGUCCAGAAAUUAUUAUUUUUACAGUGCCGUAAGAUUGCAGAGAGACAUUCUGUGCUCAGAAGGAUUUUCCUUCCAAGCAUGUGUGUAGUGAGAUCCUGGCUAUGCAGAUUAUGGAUUUUGAUGAAUGGGGUGCGUUUCCCAUGGGUUAGUGCAGUUUUUAAUGGGAAGGAAUGUUGUAGGCCCAGAGUGUGUGGAGGUUGGGGUGGCUGUGCCCAGCUCAUCCCUAACGGGCUCCAGCUGGGCAGCACAGGUGAGCAGCACUGAGGGGAACGAGCCAUGGAGUGUCCAGGGCCCUGAGCAGAGGGCACACAGGUGCAGGGCAUCAGCACCAGGGGAGGAAGCUGCAGGGCGGUACAGAGCUGCAGCCUCUCGAAGCCUCCUUGGGUGUUGGUCGUGGCUCCACUGCUAUUCCAAGCAAGAACUGCCUGGGUGAGUGUUCCUGGAGGUGCCCCAAUAACUGUGCUGAGGUUUGGUGGCUACUGGCUCUUCCUGCUGCUAGAACCUGGGGUACCUGCUCACUACUUGUGAUGGAUGCAAUGCAUUUGUUUUAAUAUUUUUCUUCCUUCCGUGACUUCCACUGAAGCAUUUAUCUAUUUCAGAGAGAAUAGAAGAGCUCUUUAUUCCGUGUGUAGCAUUCACUAGGGAUAUGAAUCCCUGUUCCUGGAUAGUGGCUCACAGUUCCAAUAUAAAGAAUGAAUUGUCAGCUACUGGUGAAUUUCAGAUUUGCUACUGCUGCUGCUGCACCUGUGAGUUCUGUCACAAUGAGCCAACGGUAGCCAGUGCUGCAGCAGACAUUCCUAAUUGGAAUGCAGUCUGUAGAUUAUCCCUGCUCGUUGGGGGUGAUUUACUGCCAUCCACUCAGGCAACAUUACCUUCUUAUUUGUCUGAACGAGCUUCAGACUCUUUGCAGUCUCCUGUGCUGUGGAUUUAGUACCUAAUGGCAAUGUAAAAAGCCAGGAGAAUUAAUUUCUCUGGGGUGUGGCUGUAACAUGGGGUAGAAAGGAGAUGUAGUAUUCAUGAGGCAAGAGCACGGGAAUGCUGUUGGGUCAGAUGAGAAUGGGAAUGAUGAAGUGAGCACUCUGUCUACUGCUUGUUUAAAGAUUGAUUUAAAAAUAUAAUUUUGAGAUAAAUACAUACUGUAUUUAAUUUUCAUUUGCUUUUAGAUCUCAGUAAUUUUUAUGAUAUAAUUAAGAAAUGGGUUGAGAAACUUUGGUCUGUCUACCUGUCUGUAAAGCAGAUAGCUCACCUGUAAGUUCUCAGAAAGUUUAUGAAUCUACCACAAUUCCUCAGUUACAUGGAGAGGAGUUUAAGGUUUAUCACUAUGGUGGUCUUAAUUUGGGAUUAUGAGGAGGGCACCUUUUGCCAAGGACCAGGAUUGCAGGUGUUUUCAGGCUCUGAGGCUCAGCAGGCCAGGGGAUGCCCCCCUGCAGAGUGUCGUCUGGCUCGGCGAUGCUCCCUCCUCCCUCAGCAAAGCAGCAGAGCAUGCUGCAGGAUGUGUUUUGAGGCUGGGGGCACCCAGUGUAACUUGGAGAAUGCCCACCCUUGUAAAGCUGUGCCAGCUCCUGCCAUCAGGUGACUUUGUGACAAGUCUUGCUUUCAUGAGACAGAAAUGAAACUGAAUGUUUCAGUCCUCAUAACUGCAGGGAAGUGCUGGAAAUGUGAAUGGUGGCUUGGCCCCCAAAAGGCAAGUAAAAAUCCAGUGUGGGUUGUUGUAAUUCAGAUGCCUCAUUUCUGUGCUUAAUCAUCAUUCUGGGGGCCUGACUCACAGUUUUUCAGUGCUAGGGAUUGCUAUAGUGAGAAUUACAUAUCAGCCUAUAAUUAGAUGCAUUUUUUUAAUUAAGGAAACUGCAACAGUGAAGGGAAUAAGAGAAACAAAACUAAUCUGGGCAUUCCUUCAUAGGUCAUAUUAUUGAACAUUUUGUCUUGGCAGCAAGCAAGCAUCCAGCACAAACACACUUGCUGAGCCUUAUGGACAAAUGCUGAACAUCUCCAGGUUUAUGUAUGCCCAGCUGGAUGAAGCAGUGAAAAUGCACAUAGGGUUGUUAUUUUACCUAUCCUGUUUCAGCCACUGCCUUUAAGUGUAUCCAGAAGGGAAUGGCAGAGUGCUGUUAGAGCUUUCUGAUCCACAAAUGGUAACAACAGCAAGAAGCUUAACCUAUCAAUAGAGAAAUUGUGCGUUUUGAUAGAUCUGUUUAGACAACAGAACAAGUGGAAAACACUUAUUUAAUGUAGUUCAGUAACUGCUAAUGGGUCCAGCAUCUGAGAACAUGUUUAUUUUUGCCUUGGGUCUUUGAUGCUUUCCCUCAUUUACAAACUGUUUCUGUCACAAACAAACAGUUUUGUGCUUCACUUGUCUAGCAGGCCAUUGCUACUGAAAGUCUUGUACUAAGAGGGUUGAGUUUGUUGUUGUCCCCCACCUAAUCUGUGGGAAAAUGUUCAGUUGGUUUUACAAAUUUAGUACAAAUUCAGUUUUCUCAUCUGCUGCAGAGCAGCAGAUCUGCAUCACAGGGAAAAGCAGAGUUCCCUCUGCCUGAGAGGGGUAAAUGAGCUGCUGGGCUCUCCUCUGUGGCAUAACCCGGCGAACGUGGGCUGUGUCUGUCACCUGAAAUCAGGGCUCGCCCUCAAUGAACAUGAGCUUUCUCAGCACUUCAGAGCUUGAUCGGUUCGUUCCCAGAGAGCUUUCAGCUUUGUGGUUUGGUUUCAGGUGGUGUCUCAUGUGGUCCUGCAGUCUGCCUGCUGAGAAUCUUGCUCCUUUCCAUUCAAGAUCUAUAACUUGUUUUGCCUUAGAGAAAUAAAAAAGAAACCCCCCCCCAAAUCCUGAGAGGUUGUUUCCACUCAUGAAUUGCUGCCGGUGUAGAGGUGUUUCUCAAAAACCUGGAUAACUGCUAAGAACAGACCAGCUUUAAGCAAGUUUAAGGAGGAAAUAGCCAGACAUUGUCAUUUCAUUGACACCUUUUUGGGUCUAAAGUGAAUGGGCUGAAUGUAUUGCAGAGGAAUAUCUCCCAAAACACACUGGACAACUGAUUGA
Long non-coding RNA from Motacilla alba alba, 10384 nucleotides. RefSeq lists it as uncharacterized. NCBI's taxonomy places the organism in Eukaryota, Metazoa, Chordata, Aves, Passeriformes, Motacillidae. The transcript has 3 exons. The record is from RefSeq and is a predicted model, not a curated record.